UGGGGAAUAUUGCGCAAUGGGCGAAAGCCUGACGCAGCGACGCCGCGUGAGGGAUGAAGGUUUUCGGAUCGUAAACCUCUGUCAGAAGGGAAGAAACCGCACUGUGCUAAUCAGCAGUGCCUUGACGGUACCUUCAAAGGAAGCACCGGCUAACUCCGUGCCAGCAGCCGCGGUAAUACGGAGGGUGCAAGCGUCAAUCGGAAUUACUGGGCGUAAAGCGCACGUAGGCUGCUUUGUAAGUCAGGGGUGAAAUCCCACGGCUCAACCGUGGAACUGCCUUUGAUACUGCUUAGCUUGAAUCCGGGAGAGGGUGGCGGAAUUCCAGGUGUAGGAGUGAAAUCCGUAGAUAUCUGGAGGAACAUCAGUGGCGAAGGCGGCCACCUGGACCGGUAUUGACGCUGAGGUGCGAAAGCGUGGGGAGCAAACAGG
RNAcentral lists this ribosomal RNA (429 nucleotides) under Fusobacteriota bacterium. RNAcentral's name for it is "Fusobacteria bacterium partial 16S ribosomal RNA". It matches the Rfam family "Bacterial small subunit ribosomal RNA", at positions 355 to 776 of the family's 1533-position model. Lineage: Bacteria; Fusobacteriati; Fusobacteriota. The record is from RNAcentral.